Molecule: long non-coding RNA, 3747 nt
Organism: Pan troglodytes (chimpanzee)
Lineage: Eukaryota; Metazoa; Chordata; Mammalia; Primates; Hominidae
Exons: 2
Source: RefSeq, a predicted model, not a curated record
GAGCGUGGCGGGCCCUGCGGGAGCGUGUACGCGGGGGUGGCGGGCUCUGCGGGAGCGUGUACGUGAGCGUGGCGGGCCCUGCGGGAGCAAGUACGCAGGAGCGGGGUUUGGGGGACUUUGCGGGAGAGGCUCCAGAGGAGACACUGCCAGGUCUCUGCUGGAGGGAGAUGACCACUUUAGCCCGGAAAAUAGACUGGACAUGCAAGAAACAACACGAAAAACAUGGCGUAACAGCUCGGCCAUGAGCGCCGGUGGGUGCAGUGGGGAGAGGAACUGCUUGAGGUGGACCCGCUCUCCAGGGAGUCCUCCUUCCGGCGGCGGAGGCCUGAGCCGGGUGUGGAGAAUUGCGCUCUGUUUGUCCAGCAGGAGGGAGGCCGUUCUCCUCAGGCAGAUAAAGAGAGCAAGUACUUAACGGAGACACACGGCAGCAUGGAGACGGGGGGGUCACCCCACGACCGUUGGAGCAGCUGUGGUCUUUCCACUAAGAAGUAAAGUUUGCAUCUGGUCCACACCACUGUGCUCUGAAUAUCAGAAAUGGGAAGCGGCACCCAAUGCUUCCAGUGAGGCAAGAACAAGUCACAGCAGCACAACAUCUGCAGCUGGAGAGGGGAUCAGCCUUUUCCAGAACAUUCCCCUCCUGAGCCAAGGGGACAGUGUAGUGGAAACCAGACUCACUUCUCCCUGAGGUAGGAAGGGGGAAUGAGGGUGGAGGGCUGGGAGGUGCCGCGUGACCACCCAAAGAAAGGUCUCAAGGUCAGGGAAUCCUGGAGCAGGGUGCUUCCUCUUCAGACUGAGGGAUUUUAAAAGCCCAAAGGAGAACUUAGACCCAAGGUGGGAGCUCCAGCUUGCUCUUCCUGCCUUGAUGGUCUUGCCUUUCCCUUUGGAUGGGGUGGCGCACCUUGUGGUCUGUGCUCAGAAAGGGUUAAGUCUCGCCCCCAGCCCCGGGAUCUGUCAGCCUUGGCGCUGAAGCUUCCUGUGGGGAGAUUGCCACCCUGGAGCGGACCAGAGCCUGGCGCCCCAAGAGAGACGGCACAGACUCCCUAGAGGGACGGCGUGUGGUCACCAGGGAUGGAAAGGAGUCGGCCUUUACUGGGCAGUGACCAUGCACUGGGCCAGGGGCAGGGAUCACAUCUCAGCUCCACGUCGCCGCUUCAAGACAGGUGCGAUCGUCUCUGUUUUAUAGAAAAGGAAACUGAGUCUCUGUGGGCCUGGUCCUAACCCAGUCACACGCAAGCAUUCAUGCCUGCGUGAAGUGUGUCUGGCUUCACCCUGCCCUGCCUAGUGGCCUCAGAGAGAGGGGACCCACAGCUGGAGGCUGGGACCCCACGUGGACUUCCCGUCCCAGCUUGGCACAUGUACACCAUGCCCAUGGGCGCUCUUGCCACAGAUGCAGGAGGACAGAGGACGGGGAGUGGAGCUGGUGGACCCAGCUCUGAGAUGCUGGGGCUCACACACGCUGGGCAGGCCUCUCAGAACACACAGCCCACAUGCCUGCCUGCCUGCCCAGCCACGGCCCCCGCACCGACAGAGCACCCCCAGACACCCUGUUCACACCUUGGACCCAUUCCUGGACCCCCUGGAUGUUUCUGGCAGCCCCCCAGACAGCGAUGCCACAUGCGUCCUGCUCUGGAAUUCCAUUAUGAGCUCCCAGUGAAGACCAAGUACACCUUUAUAAUAAAAAUACCACCCUUUGUUGGCACACGAACUCUCCAUUAGAUAUUUAUCAAAUGUUUAAAAAGUUGGCCCAGAACCACACAUGCUUUACCACGAGGCUCCUUGGUAGCUGGAGGAAAGCAAGGCCAUCGAAGGUGGAGCCUGGGGUGCCUCCAUCCAAGCCCUCAUCUUGCAGACAGGCGGCUCGCCUGGGCUCACCUGUGAGCCCACACGCAGAGCCACCUGCGGCGUUUGCGCAGAGCCUCUGCGGCCACCAGGAAGUCACACAGCCCUCGGUGGGUCCGCAGUGGAUCAACACAGGCACGGCUGCACCUGAGAUUCAGAAGAAUGGGCAGAUGGUGCUUUCCUGCAUGUGUAAGAGGAAUUCAUGGGGCGAAUAACCCAACAGAGGUAAACAUUAGGGGCUGAAGUGACUUAAGCAUAUUAAAAUGUAGUUUUUCUACUUAAGCUGGUUUCUCCAUCACCAGCUCCAUCACCCCAUCCAUCUAUCUGCCUCCAUCACCCCAUCCAUCUGUCUGUAGACAAAGAGAGGUGUUACUCAAUGCCCAGGAGUAAUUUAGCAUUUAGUUUUGAAGGGUGCCGUGAAAACAGAGAUGCCGAGUGUUGCCAAAGACUAGGGCCCAUUUGCCCUGAAGCCUGCGCUGGAGCUCCACUUCUCAGCUCCUGGCCUGGCUGAGUGUGCGCCACGGGCACUCCUGGUGUUCCAGGGAACUGUGGAGGCCGCUGGGAAGGAAGCUGUUUAUUGGCAUCAUCUUGGAUUCACUGAAGAAAGCCUCAUGUCACAACCUCUGGCUGUUGCUAGCUGCGCUGGGUGUUGAAAGGACAGAGGCAGGGGGCGCCCCGGGGCAGCCAGGGGCCUUAUGGCAUAGUCUUCCCCAUGAAGAAGCAAAGGAGAGCAUCAGAUCACUCUAAAACCCUAGUGCAAACACACGGGCUGCCGCAGUGUAGACAGCCGGACUGUGCUGGCCCGUAGCCAGGCCUGUGGCUUGCUCCCGCCACCGGGCUCAGCUGUGUGGACACAGCAAGCUCUCAGUAUACAAUCGGCACUCAUGAAUCCUGUCUUUCUCAUCCUAAAUGCCCAUCAAUUUUGUAAAGCAACCUUACUUGAAGUCAUGUCAAAAGCUGUGCACGUCCCAGGUGGGCUGAAGAAGAGGCAAAAUUGGCGUAAAAGGAGCCAAGAAUUCUCCAUUUGUUGAUGAAAGGUAAAAUUGUCCACCUGGCACGUGCUGCCUGGCUGACCAAGAGUGAAGAAAUGUUUUUUUCUGGCUUUUUUUCUAAAUGCAUUUGCUAUGCUAGGCUGAAACAGAAAUGCUAUUCACAUCUGGUGGAGCAGACCUUAUUUCCACUCUCUGGACAUGCUCCGAAGCGCGGCCUGAAGUAGAUCAAGUCCCCAGGGAGCUCAAGCCUGAUUCCAAGGAGAUUGCCAAUAUUUUAGGAGGGAGUAAACAUUUUCUGAAGUUUUUUGUUGUCUAAAGCCAAAAAAUGCACUUGCGCCUCCUGAGAGGACAAAGAGGAAGAGAGACGGGGAGAGGGGACAAAGGAGCAGAGACGGACAGCAAAUCCACGCAGAGGAGGGAAGGUGGGGGAUGCCAGGCCCCUCUGGGUGAGUCGAAGAUCUCCACCAGAGGCUCAUUUCAAAGGGGAAGGCGGCACCUUUAUUUUCAAAAGAGGCACCGCUCCUGGCUUCCUGUGAGCUCCACUUCUACCCUAGUUAGAGGAGGAGGGUUUGAUGGGGCUCAGGGUCAUGGCCGAGGCUCUCCAGCCUGUGUGGAUGAAUGCACUCGCAGAUCUCAUCUCUCUGCUGCUCCCUCCCCAGCCUGAUGUCCAGCCCUGCCCUUGCACUCUAGUCUCAUACGCUAUUGCUCACUUGGCAUCUCAAAUGACAGUUGCCCAAAACAUAAUUCCAGCUUCUCCUUCCAGAUUUGUUUCAUCUCCAUUUUGUCUCACUAAAGGACAACCCCACCCACUCAGCCACCUAAGCCAGAACCCCAUGUGCCAUGCACCAGUUCUUCUUCUCACUUGUCUGCUUAAUUAAAUCCUCGGCGACCCUUGCUAACAGCACCUUGGAAGCUC